Molecule: ribosomal RNA, 477 nt
Filed under: uncultured organism
Description: partial 16S ribosomal RNA
Rfam family: Bacterial small subunit ribosomal RNA
Source: RNAcentral
ACACUCCUACGGGAGGCAGCAGUGGGGAAUUUUGGACAAUGGGCGAAAGCCUGAUCCAGCAAUGCCGCGUGUGUGAAGAAGGCCUUCGGGUUGUAAAGCACUUUUGUCCGGAAAGAAAUCCUUGGCUCUAAUACAGUCGGGGGAUGACGGUACCGGAAGAAUAAGCACCGGCUAACUACGUGCCAGCAGCCGCGGUAAUACGUAGGGUGCGAGCGUUAAUCGGAAUUACUGGGCGUAAAGCGUGUGCAGGCGGUUUGCUAAGACCGAUGUGAAAUCCCCGGGCUCAACCUGGGAACUGCAUUGGUGACUGGCAGGCUAGAGUAUGGCAGAGGGGGGUAGAAUUCCACGUGUAGCAGUGAAAUGCGUAGAGAUGUGGAGGAAUACCGAUGGCGAAGGCAGCCCCCUGGGCCAAUACUGACGCUCAUGCACGAAAGCGUGGGGAGCAAACAGGAUUAGAAACCCGAGUAGUCCCAUGAU